RNAcentral lists this ribosomal RNA (497 nucleotides) under uncultured bacterium. Its description in RNAcentral is "partial 16S ribosomal RNA". It matches the Rfam family "Bacterial small subunit ribosomal RNA", at positions 28 to 507 of the family's 1533-position model. The record is from RNAcentral.
GAUGAACGCUGGCGGCGUGCCUAAUACAUGCAAGUCGAGCGAACAGACGGGGAGCUUGCUCCUCUGACGUUAGCGGCGGACGGGUGAGUAACACGUGGAUAACCUACCUAUAAGACUGGGAUAACUUCGGGAAACCGGAGCUAAUACCGGAUAAUAUAUUGAACCGCAUGGUUCAAUAGUGAAAGACGGUUUUGCUGUCACUUAUAGAUGGAUCCGCGCCGCAUUAGCUAGUUGGUAAGGUAACGGCUUACCAAGGCAACGAUGCGUAGCCGACCUGAGAGGGUGAUCGGCCACACUGGAACUGAGACACGGUCCAGACUCCUACGGGAGGCAGCAGUAGGGAAUCUUCCGCAAUGGGCGAAAGCCUGACGGAGCAACGCCGCGUGAGUGAUGAAGGUCUUCGGAUCGUAAAACUCUGUUAUUAGGGAAGAACAAAUGUGCAAGUAACUAUGCACGUCUUGACGGUACCUAAUCAGAAAGCCACGGCUAACUACGUG